Long non-coding RNA from Syngnathoides biaculeatus (alligator pipefish), 1169 nucleotides. RefSeq lists it as uncharacterized. Lineage: Eukaryota; Metazoa; Chordata; Actinopteri; Syngnathiformes; Syngnathidae. The record is from RefSeq and is a predicted model, not a curated record. The transcript is spliced from 3 exons.
GACGGACCAGGCUCUGGCCCGUAGUCACUGGGUCACAGGGUUAACACAAGCCAAUUACCAAAAUAGUUAAAGGAGGAGACAGGAAACACAAUAUUUACCACAUGACUGCCAGAGUGAUGCAACAGACACACAAAUACACACCCCGGCGCACACACACACACACACACACACACCUCCUGGUUCUCACCGACAGAUUCGAGGUGCUAAUUCCGAAAACAUCAGCUGAACUUUUUUCACUCCGUGUUUCAGCGCUGAUAAGUCCGACUGUCCGUGCAUCUGAUAUGUUUAUAUUGGGAGAUGUUUGCUGUGACCCUGGCGUGUGGCUGCGAGACGCUGCGGGAGGUCGCGCAGUUUCCUGUUUAUCACAUCGUCCCCCGUGAAUGUCAAACAGUUUACCUAACAAGGCAAAAUUUGAGAUGCAAGUGCGCUUCAGGUCCCCACCACUCGACUGGGGCAGCAAAUUUCACCGCAUCAGGCCACCAUCAAUUCACAUUGGUUUCCUUGUAGUGGAACAGAAGAGUUUGUCAUUGAUUAGAGAGAGCUGUGUUUGUGUUUAUGUAAUUAUAAUUUAUAUUGUUUUAAAUGGUAAAAUGAUAGUGCAUUUUCCUCAAGAAGUCUUCCAUCCAUUUUCUUUUGCCACUCAUCCUCACAAGGGAGUGCUGAAGCCUAUCCCAGCUGUCAACGGGCAGGAGGCGGGUUACACCCUGAACUGGUUCCCAGCCAUUCGCAGGUCACAUCGAGACAAACAGUCACACUCACAGUCACACCUAGGGGCAAUUUAGAGUGUCCAAUUAAUGUUGCAUGUUUUUGGGAUGUGGGAGGAAACCGGAGUGCCCGGAGAAAACCCACGCAGCCACGGGGAGAACAUACUGUACAACCUCCACACAGGUGGGUCCAGGAUUGAAUCCGGGACCUCAGAACUGUGAGGGCAAUGCUUUACCAGCUGAUCCCAUGUGCCGCCUCUUAAGAUGUAUUAAAAAUGGAAUUUGCUGUUUUUUGUGGGAGUUAUGGAACAGAUUAACUGCCUUGAUAUUGUCAAAGACGUGCAUUUUCUUAAAAACACCUACUGAAAACAACUAACAUGUGCAAAAGUACUGUAUUCACAGUAUUGACGCAUAUUUUUCAUAAGUUCUGCAAUUUUGCUUUCCAGACAACUGUUUUGUUGGUGC